This 279-nucleotide ribosomal RNA is filed under the name uncultured bacterium. RNAcentral describes it as "partial 16S ribosomal RNA". It matches the Rfam family "Bacterial small subunit ribosomal RNA", at positions 506 to 784 of the family's 1533-position model. The record is from RNAcentral.
UGCCAGCUGCCGCGGUAAUACGGAGGGGGUUAGCGUUGUUCGGAAUUACUGGGCGUAAAGCGUACGUAGGCGGAUUGAUCAGUUGGAGCAAGAAAUAAAAGAGCUUAACUCUUUUGAUUCUCCAAUACUGUCAUUCUUGAGUUUAUCAGAGUUUAGUAGAACUUACGGAGUAGGGAUAAAAUCCAUUAAUAUCGUAGGGAACACCGGUGGCGAAGGCGACUAUUCAUGAUAAGACUGACGCUGUAAGACGAAGGCGUGGGUAGCGAAUGGGAUUAGAUA